Molecule: ribosomal RNA, 401 nt
Filed under: uncultured bacterium
Lineage: Bacteria
Description: partial 16S ribosomal RNA
Rfam family: Bacterial small subunit ribosomal RNA
Source: RNAcentral
CCUACGGGAGGCUGCAGUGAGGAAUAUUGGUCAAUGGACGCAAGUCUGAACCAGCCAAGUCGCGUGCAGGAUGACGGCCCUCCGGGUUGUAAACUGCUUUUGGUUGGGAAUAAAAGGGGGCUCGUGAGCCCCGUAUUGUAUAUACCAUCAGAAAAAGGACCGGCUAAUUCCGUGCCAGCCGCCGCGGUAAUACGGGAGGUCCGGGCGUUAUCCGGAUUUAUUGGGUUUAAAGGGAGCGUAGGCCGGCUUUUAAGUCAGCUGUGAAAGUCCGGGGCUCAACCGCGGAAUUGCAGUUGAAACUGGAGGCCUCGAGUGCACACAGGGAUGACGGAAUGCACGGUGUAGCGGUGAAAUGCUUAGAUAUCAUGAAGAACUCCGAUUGCGAAGGCAAGUGGCCGGGG